Molecule: ribosomal RNA, 258 nt
Filed under: uncultured bacterium
Lineage: Bacteria
Description: partial 16S ribosomal RNA
Rfam family: Bacterial small subunit ribosomal RNA
Source: RNAcentral
GUCCAUGCCGUAAACGAUGUCAACUAGCCGUUGGGCUCCUUGAGGGCUUAGUGGCGCAGCUAACGCGAUAAGUUGACCGCCUGGGGAGUACGGUCGCAAGACUAAAACUCAAAUGAAUUGACGGGGGCCCGCACAAGCGGUGGAGCAUGUGGUUUAAUUCGAUGCAACGCGAAGAACCUUACCUGGCCUUGACAUGUCUGGAAUCCUGCAGAGAUGCGGGAGUGCCUUCGGGAAUCAGAACACAGGUGCUGCAUGGCU